AGGCUCGUAGCUCAGGGGUAGAGCACCACCUUGACAUGGUGGGGGUCGGCGGUUCGAAACCGCCCGAGCCUACCA
RNAcentral lists this transfer RNA (75 nucleotides) under Mariprofundus ferrooxydans. Its description in RNAcentral is "tRNA-Val". It matches the Rfam family "tRNA". Rfam says of the family: Transfer RNA (tRNA) molecules are approximately 80 nucleotides in length. Their secondary structure includes four short double-helical elements and three loops (D, anti-codon, and T loops). Lineage: Bacteria; Pseudomonadati; Pseudomonadota; Candidatius Mariprofundia; Mariprofundales; Mariprofundaceae. RNAcentral also lists the same sequence under 42 other names. The record is from RNAcentral.